This 74-nucleotide transfer RNA is filed under the name Mesocricetus auratus (golden hamster). It matches the Rfam family "tRNA". Rfam says of the family: Transfer RNA (tRNA) molecules are approximately 80 nucleotides in length. Their secondary structure includes four short double-helical elements and three loops (D, anti-codon, and T loops). Further hydrogen bonds mediate the characteristic L-shaped molecular structure. tRNAs have two regions of fundamental functional importance: the anti-codon, which is responsible for specific mRNA codon recognition, and the 3' end, to which the tRNAs corresponding amino acid is attached (by aminoacyl-tRNA synthetases). tRNAs cope with the degeneracy of the genetic code in two manners: having more than one tRNA (with a specific anti-codon) for a particular amino acid; and 'wobble' base-pairing, i.e. permitting non-standard base-pairing at the 3rd anti-codon position. The record is from Rfam by way of RNAcentral. Lineage: Eukaryota; Metazoa; Chordata; Mammalia; Rodentia; Cricetidae.
GAAGAGAUGGCUCAGCAGUUAAGAGCACUGGCUGCUCUUCCCAGAGGACCUGGGUUCAAUUCCUAGUACCUACA